CAUCUGCUCUACAGAAAUCCUGCUGUGGAUGUCAGAAAUACAGCAAAUGUGAGCUGGUCUCUUCUGCUUCAGCAAAAAGAGAUUUUCAGUGUAAUUAGUGUAGAACCAAGUGACAGAAUCCCUUCCUGGGGUUCCUGGUCGUGCAGGUGAACCCAGGUCCUGACCCACAGCUGAGGCCACAGCUGUACCAGUUUAUCCCAUAAAUAAUUCCUGAAACUGCUUCUCAGUCUGGCAUUUUCAUCCGGAUCAAACGGACAUUCGAUCCCUCUCUUCACCUCUCUCUGCUCACAUAUAAAGCCAAAAUCUGCAUAUUCUGAACCCACCAUCUGCUGCGUCUGCCUUGCCCUGGCUCCUGUUACAGUUUCAGCUCCGGCUGCUCCUGCAGGCAGCAGCUGCCUUUGGGAGAGGAAAUUAGGAGCUGGGACAAGUUAUCUUGUUAUUUUCCACCAUUAUUUUUUCCCCUCAACUUCAUGUCAGUUUAUUUGUGUAACACAGCUGAGUCCUUCCCGUGCUGUGGCGGAUCACAGGGGUUUAUUCCAUGUUUCCAGCCAGCUCCUUCUGCCACGAUGCAGCCACUACAUGUGUUUGAGGCAGGAGCAAAAUAUCGUGGGAGAGAUGGAGAUGGGAAGGUGCAGUGCCUGGGCAAAGGUGGUUUUGGAAGGCACUGCAGAGCCUGGGGGACAGGCCAGGCAUGGCCACCUCUGCACUGGGAAGUGUGAAGGAUCAAUGGAUCACUUAUUUUGGGACACAUGAGGAAAAGUCCUGUGAUGCAAGUGGGCUUUGCAGCUGGACACUGGAUGGGGAGAGAGAUCAAUGGAGGUGAGCAGUGAACACAUGGAAAGUUGAGGUUUUUUCCAAGGAAUACCCAGGUGGGUUGGUGUGGGCUGGUGGGGGUUUUUUUUGUGUUUAUUUAAAUAAACACAGAAGUAAGAAAAUUACCCCUUUAGAUAUCUUUUUUAUAGCCACCAUCUCCAUGACACCUCUAUGAGCAAGGCCUGAAAUCCUCACCUGCCUCCCCCCUCUGCAUCACCCACUGCUGGGCUCACCCUGACCAGCUCCUGGGGAACCUGCUUGGAACUGGGAAGCCAAUGGAUAGCUGGGGAUGGAGAGGCAGAAACAGGACACACUCGUUUUGUGUGUCCUUCUAUAAAAAAACCCCUGAUCAAACUCAGAAAUUAAUGUGCUGGGGUAAGAGUAUUAAUUUUUGGAAACUGCUAAGGUUGUCUGUAAAAAUACUUCAGUAUGAUGCACUUCUGGAGGGAGUUUCUAUAGUUAUUUGAAUACAUAUAUGCAAAUAUUAUGAUACUCAAAUAUUAUUUAAAUAAUAAUAUAAUAUACAAAACAGUUGCUUUUAUUAUCCCACUUUGUUAUAAUUUUACUGCAGUGAACCACCACUAACAAGUUAUCCCUGCUUCUCUCUGGGACACAGGGACUCACUUGCUGUUGCUCUCCAUUAACUCUCAGUGUGCCUCCUCAGUCAGGGUUUUAUGAUAAUAACACAAAACUGCUUUUAUGUCAGGGAGUUGGAACUAGAUGACCUUUAAGGUCCCUUCCAACCCAGGAUUCCAUAAUUUUAAAGCAUGGAAGUGAGUGAUACAUCCUUCAAGUCAUUACCCUGUGAUUUUUGCUGUGGAUGUUCCACAUUAUGUGUUCUCUGUUGCAGAAAAGAUAAUUAAAAUGCAGGUUUCUGGUAGGAAUUUCUGCAAGAGGAAGGAUCCCGUUCUUCCAGUCCUCCUUCUGCUGAGAAAGCAAUAGGAAUUACUUUUAUCAAGGUUUGAAUUAAGUCCAUAGGCCGUGUCGUGCAUCCAGAUUAUUCCAACAUGCCGCAAUCAAACUCUGGGAUUUCAGUGCUGACCCAGUGCCCAGAUGCUGCAGUUGACAAGGACGUGGUGGCAGCGCUGUGGCUCUCACAGCAGAGCUCUGCAGUGCUGGCACCCAGCCCCAGCAACACCAAAAGGACCAAAAAAUAGCUGCCUUUCAAGAAGAGCCAAACUGGAAAGACACAGAAUCCUUGUGGAUGGAAAACCAGGAGGUUUUGGCAGGUGCCAUUCUGUUCACUAAUGAUUCCAAACAAAAGAAAAGGGAAUUGUCUGUGUGAGACUCUAAUUAAUUACUACCCAUCAGGAGCUGCUUAUGCAAGAGCUGUCAUCAGCAAAGCAGGGCCAGGCACUGAGAGACUCUCCCUAGGAGAGCUGAAAAUCAGUCUUGAUGGCUUCUGAAAUAAUGCAGCGUCCUGCUGGGAGGGAAUGAAUGGAAAAACAAAUUACGAAGAGAGAUGGAGGAAAGGAGAUCCGGGGGGGGGGGGCUUUGAAUGUGGAUGGAAAGAUGUGGCCAGCGAGGCCUCUGGGCUGUGUGGGGCCUGUGUGUGAUAAAGGUCAUGACAGUGCCCACCUCUGCAGUUCAUAUCUAAUUAGAGGGUCUUGUUCGGCCUUUCUCACUGCCAGUGAAGUGCAGCCCCCCUCUUUCCAUAGUCCUGGGUGGGCCCUUUCUGGAUGCAAAUGAAGCUCAUUUGCUAUCACUGAAAAUUACUUCAAAAGCAUCCAUUUGUGCCUUCAAAGCUGAGAGGAGCAUUAAGAACAGGUAACAAGCACAGAACUGCCUCGUGCUACUUCUACAAAGCUGUUUCUCAGCAGAGAAACUCAUUUCCAUAUGGCACCAGCUGUGUCACUUGGCAAAGGAGAAGGAGCGACCUGGGCUGGUGGAAGGUGUCCCUGCCCAGGGAACGGGGGUGGAACUGAUGGGCUUUAAGGUCUUUUCCAACCCAGACCAGUCUGGGAUUCUAUAAUUCAAUGAAUGGACAGGGUUGGAAAACCAAGGACUAGAGUCCCUGUUAGUUCUCUCAAAUCCAAGCUGGCAAGGCACAUACACAGGUGGGCAGGAUACCCAGUACAGGCUGUAAAGAAGCACUCAGAGACUUAUUUCAAGCUUCAACUGAUGACUAAAGAGCUGGGCUGGAAGAGCCUGGCACUGAAAGGAUUAUUUAGUCUUGUGGCUGCCUAAUGUCAAAAGAGACCUGCUGCUGUUUGCAUGAACAGCUUGUCAUCCCUCUGCUCCAGCUGGGUGGGCAUGAAAACACCAGCUGAGGGGCUGCUGCCUCAGUGGGGACCAACCUACUCCUCAACACUGGGACCCUGAGGGACCUGUGAGGGGCUCAGCCCUGAUCCCUGUUUCUGCACCAGGUACCUUCCCACAUACCCUGGAAAUUCUUUCUGGCCUGGAGCAGGGACAGAGGUAGCUGCAGAGAGGUUUCUUCCAACAGCUCUUCCUGUUGGGUUUCUUUGUUGGGUUUCUUUUUGUUUUCAAUCCACAGGAUUUUGAAAUGCACUCUGAAAGUACAGACAAUGAUUUAUUUGCUGCUUUGUCUUGUAAUGGUGCGGGUGAAGAUUCUGGGGCACCAGGAGUGGCUGAGGGAGCUGGGGGGGCUCAGCCCUGAGAAAAGGAGGCUCAGGGGGGACCUUCUGGCUCUCUACAACUCCUUGACAGGAGGGUGGAGCCAGGUGGGGGUCGGGCUCUGCUCCCAGGGAACAAGGGACAAGGGGAAACUGCCUCAAGUCACACCAGGGGAGGUUCAGGUUGAAUACUGGGAAAAUUCCUUCCCAUAAAGUGUUGUCCAACCCUAGCACAGCCACCCAGGGCAGAGAGUCCCCAGCCCUGGAGGGAUUUUAAAACUAUGUGGAUGUGUCUCUUGGGGACAUGGUUUAAUGGUGGCCUUGGCAAUGCUUGGAAAUGGUUGGACUCAAUGGUCUCAGAGGGUUUUUCUAAGCUUAAUUAUUCCAUGAUCUGUAAUAUUGUAACUGUGGGUCCUUUAUUCUCUUUUCCUCAUCAGUUGGAUAUGAAAAUAGACAUUGAAUUAGGAGGGGGUGGAACACGAUGAGCUUUAAGAUCCCUGACAGCCCAAACCAUUCCAGGAUUCUAUUCCAUGCAGAAUUCAAGCUUUAAUGUCAUGACUCAAUUCCUUUUGUCUGUUACGUGUAUUACUUGAGUUCGGAUCACUUUAUUAGAUGAAACUUCAGCUGAUUCCUUCAUAAAAUACCAGGACCUUUGCUGUUAUGCAAGACAAGAACUGGAAAAUAUUGUUAGUGGCUGUUUUUUCACAGAAUUCAUCAACAUCUAGACACAGACCCUCCUACGGUUUUAUAAACUGGGCUGGGUACAACACUCGAGUUCCAGGCUGGCAGCCAGAGAGUCCUCACUGCCAGCAGGAGAAUAUUCACCAGCAACUCCCUCUGCAAGUGUCAGCUGGGACCCCCAGCACCACCUUAAUCCUCUCAGGGAUUGGGAUCCUCCCAAAGAGCUCAGGGGAAUGAAUCAGCUCCGUGUCUGCCAGUCUUGUGGCUGAGGAGGAGGAAGAGGAGUGAAGUGCUUGUACUGAUCCAAGGCUGUGGGGAAGCUGCAAAUUGACAUAAGCUUUUUCCUUCCUCAAUUCUUUGCCUGGAAAAACCCACUUAUCUUGUCUUCCCUGAUAAAGUCAACACCUGAUCCUUUCUGGGCACCUUUUGGGCCUGCCAUGAAAGCUGUGGAACCCUGAGCUGAAUCAGUGGAAUGUCCACCUUCUCCAGAGCAGGGCACAAAACAAUCCACCUAUUUUUUCUGCUCUGUUGCAUGUAUUUUCCAGGACAUCCAGCACUUCCCAGCUAUGUCUGUGAUGAUACCCAUGGCUAAGGAUUCUCCUAAUGCCCUUCCUCCCUCUUAGAACCCAGCCUGUAGAGAAAAUUGGGAAUCUGAGAUCUCAGGAAGUGCUGUAAUUCUGCACGGUUGUCUUUAACCAAAAUAUUCUGGUUUCCAAACUUAUUUCAGAAGGACUAGUCAUCCAUGUAGUAAUCCUUAUUGACUUAGGACUAUGAUAAAACCUUUCAUGCCACCACUGCUUCCCAUCUCCAGUCAUCCUGAUGGCUGCAAGCUGCACCUCCAUGCUGGUUUAGGAAUGAGGAAUUCCGGUGGUUGCAUUCUGUCCUUGGCAUUACUUUAGGGCUGCAGGGGAGUGCCUGUAUUUAAAAGCUGCACAGCAUUUUAGAAGAUAUUAAAAUUAAUAAAUUGAGCUUCAGUGGUUUCCUAAGCUUUCCCUUUUCCCAGGUAAAGCUGGUUGGUCUUUGUUAGGGAAGCCAGUCUGGAGGCUGCCUGGACUGCUGUAUUUAUCCAUUUACAUACAUGAUUUGGGAAUCCACAGCAGCCUCCUCAUCCUGAGGAGAGGUGAGAGUGAACAGCCUUAUUAGCAGCCUCUCAAAUGAACUUUUGAAAGGGUAGGAAGUGCAUCUUUCCCAGCACAGCUGGCUGCUCCGUGCAUUUCUCCCAAAUAAGUCCCUAAUAAUGCUUCAGGAAGCUAAGGAGGGCUGGAGUGCCUGCCCUGCACCUCAUCCCUCCUUGCUCAGCUCUUCUCUCUCUCUUGAAAGCAAAAGCAACAAUUCUUCUACUGCUGGUAUGAAAUGUGGAGGGUAAAUCUCCUUGCCUGAUCACAGCAUCUGUUAUUAAUUUAAUAAAAUUAUUUUAAUUCAAUUCUCUUCUAUUUGAUAUAUGUGAGCUUCUUCAGCCACUUCGGCUGCAGUGGAAGGACAGAGAGGGGAGCACAAACAUUCCUUAAUUCUGCCCAAUGAAUUAAUUCAUUGAUCUCUUACAGUAUCCAAGGUCUUUGUUUCCUUUCUCUGUUUCCAUACUGUCCUUUUAAUCCCUUAACACUCUGCAGCCUCCCACCAGUUUUCACCUGAAUCCCCUUUUCUGGUACCAAAACUUUACCAGAAGAGGAGAGAAGAUGACAAAGCCAUUUGGGUUUGCUGAACUGAGGACACAGAGGGAAGCUGUGUGUGUGUGGGGGGGUACUUGCUGUCUUUGCUUGGUGUUGGCAGCACCAAGAAAUCUCCUGAUCCUCUCUGAAAAGAGGGAUUUUGGAGAGAGGAGGACACAAAAUGAAGAGAAAACCCAGAAAAUUUUGCAAAAAACCACAAAAUGGUGUCAGUGGAGGUUCUGGGGCUGCACUGCCUGUUGGGGUGGGGUGGGGUGGUGGAGGGUACAGGAACUUCCUUCUGCCUAAAAUCAGCCAUUAUCAUUCCAAACACAUUUGCUUUUGCUUCCUUUCUCUUUUAAUGGGAAAUGUAUCUUUGUACUGUUUUGACAGGGCCUCACUGAAGCCAUUUAUUCUAUUCUGUACAAGCUCUCCUACCACAUAUUUCUCCAAAGGAUCUCAGUGCAUUAAGCAAAACGACAGACAUCUGCCAGGUUAUUUUUUUUCUCUCAGUCUCCUCAGGAAGAAAAUAAAAUGAAUGCAAUAGUGUCCUAUUUUAGUAAGUUGGACUUUUACCCCGUCCUCUUUCACAUAUGCAUUUCUUUAUUUUUUUAUAACAGAGAAAGCAAAGCCCAAGGGAUGUACACUUCCCACGGAGCAAUAAUUGGUGACACAGUUAUUACUAAUAUUUACUUCUUGGCUCACUCUACAUCCUCAGGUUUGAUCCAGAGGUAGUUCUACUUUCUGGACACAAAGCUGUACUAUCCCUCCACUGAGGAGCAGGAAGGAAGGUAUCACCAAUAUUCUUCAUCCUACUAGGCAGCUUUUUGGGUUGCAACACAGCAGAUUGAGAAUCCUGCACCAUAACGGGGCAGAAAUGGUACUGAUGGAAAUGGUAACCUGGAAAUGAUGAAAAGCAUCGCUUGGGUUGGUAAGUGAGAACUCCAGGUCAACAAUGCAUCCAAAAAUACUCCUGAGUUACUGCCUGAACUGAUCCCUUGGGCAUCACCUCUACGGUGUUGGCACUUAAAGAAUGGUUUGGGUUGAAAGAGAUCUUAAAGCUCAUCUAAACCAUGAUCUUAAAGACCAUUUGCCUGACUAUUGUGUAUCUGAGAGCUCAUUAGAUGUCUAUGGGGAAUGACAAAGGCACUGACUGCACAGCAUUGGUCAGUGUAAGUAACUGAGAAGUGACCUUUUCCCAAGGCUGGGAGGAUCUCAGGCAGAUUUAUGGCCAUUAAGUCCUUUAGGAUGUUUAGAGCUUCUUGACAAUGAAAAAUUUGUGCUCCUGAGUGGCAUUUGAUAAUUGUAGCACAGCAGUGUCAGAACUGUGAGCGCUGCAGAUUUCAGUGUUCAGUUCUAGUGUGGAUUAUGAGUGCUCAGGGCCUGUGGAAUGUCUUAAUGCCAGGGAUGACUUCUUGGAGUUGACUUGGCAGAUCAGUGGAGGGAUAUAAGAAUAACACGAGCCUGUGAUACAAUCACAGCAUGAGCUCUGAGGAGUUUUUUAAUUUCAUCCUCCUGGUAUCAGCCCUCGCUACCAAGUUUCCAAGAGGAUGUCAGGCAGCCAGAGGGCUGGAAAGAGAGGAGGAACACUUAGGGCUGCUGCUGCCAGCUCACAGGCAGCAGUAACAAGCAGGUCCUCCCCACCAGGGUGAAGCUCUGCUGUCUGUUCUCAGGCUUUGGAAUUUCAUCCAUGACCAUAAAUCGUUGUCUAAACCAGGAUUACUGAUGUCUCGUUGCCAGGGAGUUAAAAUCUGGGAUGUGCUGCCUGGAGGCUGUGCAGGAUGAAAAGCAAGACUUUCAUUUUCCUGGCUUUGUAGUCUAGAAGAAUUUCUUUUAACCAUUUGAAAAUUCUGUCCCUUAACUUGUAUUGUUUGGUGCUUACAGUUAAGAGACAACUCUCCUAAAUAUUCCAUACCCAACAACCAAGGACCUGCCUGAAUCUAAACCCCAAAGGUUAAACCUGGAAUCUAGGGAAUGAUUGCUGAACUGACUUCUCUAUGGAGUUUCACAAAGUUUGACACUGUUGCACACCAGACUCUCAACCACAUUUCUCACACCUGACUCUGUCCAAGGCAGCAAACAGAGCAGGGGAAAAUAUCACCGCUGCUCCUUCAAGUCAUUGAAAUGCUACAAAUGGAGGGAAAUGUUGGGAGUUAUAUUUUAUUGGCAAAGGAAAGGAUGAGGUGAUUAAGUUAUAACAGUGCAAAACAUUCAGGAGAAAUACUUUUCAUGGCUGUAAAGAUUCCAGCACUUCAGCAUCAUGUGCUCAUGGAGGUUGUCCUUCUUCUGUACCCUUGUUUGUAAUAUGAAGUAAUAAAGGAAAUUCAGUAUAUACCUGAAAUCAUCAUUUGAAUUAGAGUUGUUGGCAGUCUUACACAUUUUUUUACACAUGUACAGAAAUAAAUUUGCCUUUGGGAGGGGGAAUUGAAAUUUGAUUGAUAAUUACUUUUACAUUUUGUGUAUGCAAAAAGAAACUCCUGUAUAUUAUAGAGAUCUAUCAAGCAGUUAUUAACUCUUAGUUUUAUUGAGCUGGACAGCAGGACAGACAAUCUUUUCUCCUCUUUAUGUUGUACAAAACUUUCAUUCAAUAUUGUCCUUUUACUGCAUAAAGACUGGUUUAUCAGGGUCUGGUAUGGUCUGGACUGUGGGUCUGUGGGAUACAAGGCCAUAGGAUGGUACUUGAGCAGGAAUUACAACACAGCAGCCCUUCUGUUCAGUUUUCAGAGCCUGCAGUCAUUAAUCCCUGGAAAAAAUCAAGGGGCUGUGUGUCAUCCACAAAUAACCAGUUUAACUCUUAAUUUAAAAGGUUUUAUAAUGAA
Molecule: long non-coding RNA, 8535 nt
Organism: Pseudopipra pipra
Lineage: Eukaryota; Metazoa; Chordata; Aves; Passeriformes; Pipridae
Exons: 2
Source: RefSeq, a predicted model, not a curated record